CUUUCUUCCUGGCUUCUCUGUCAUUUUGGGGAAAGCAGAAGUGAAAGUGAAACUAGACAGAGCAAGCUCCUGGUCCUGCCCCCAGCCUAGCCUGGUAAAGAUGAGUUCCGGCAGCCCGCAGGCACUGGCAAAGUGGGACAGAGAUCCUGGACAUUUACACCCUUUGGGGAAGCAGGGCUCAUCCUGGAAGAGAGGCCAUGCCCCCAAAAGCUGUCUGCCAAGCCAGUCACCAGUCCUUGGCUUAUAAGUCAGAGAGUAGAGGUGGAGGAUGGAGAAGACCACCCAUCCACCCAUCUAUAUGAGAACCUGGGCCCUUGGGCUACAGCUCCGCACCCCAGAGCAGAUAGAUCAAGGAAACCCCUACUUCUGUCUUCCUUAAACCAACGGCGGGGAGUUCCCAUCAUGGCUAAACGGUUAAGGAACCCGACCAGUAUCCAUGAGGACGCGGGUUUGAACCCUGGCCUUGCUCGGUGUUUUAAAGACCAAGCGUUGCAGUUACCGAGAGCUGUGGUGUCAGUUGCAGACGCGGCUCGGAUCCAGUGUUGCUGCGGCGUAGGCCGGCAGCCACAGCUCCGAUUCCACCCCUAGCAGGGAACCUCCACAUGGGGCGGGAGCCACCCAAAACAAAAACAAAAAAAAAACUACAACCCCGUUCCCCCGGCCUCAGGUCAUCUGUCAUCUCCUCCCGGAAGCCUGUUUUGACCUGGCCUCUGCCCAAGUCGGAAACUCUCGUGGGACUCCAACUAACGCCGUCCUCAUCACCAGUUUGGGCUCCAAGGGCGGAUCGUCCGGAGGCCCGACACCCCACAGUUUUGUAGCGAUAUCGGGCGGAGUGCCCAGAUCCAACACAGCGGUCACUCACCACUGCAAGUGGAAGGUGUGGCCGCAGUGGAUGGCUGCCACGUCGCGGGAGUGAUCGAAGAAGUCGGAGCAUAUAGUGCACAGAGCACGAAUAGGCAUGACUGGUCUCAAGUGGCCCAGGUAGCCAAGGAAACCGCGAAGGGUCCAGCUUCGUGGCCUUGCCUCAGCGUCCCAGCUUGCUUCAAAUUUGGCUCCACAGCGCGACUUCCGGAAGCGAACCGGAAAUGGCUACAAGGCGCAAAAUGAAGUUUGGGCCCGGAUUGGACGAACCCUCGGGGGCGGGGCUUAACGGCCUCCCGGGCCGAAAAGAAUCCUGGGGCCGAGCCGGGGCCUGAAGCUCAGCGGUAAGUCCCUCGCGGCUCCCGGGAAUUGCCCAGUACAAGAACACAGCGUUGGAUAGGCACCAGGAGCAGCUACGCCGCCGGCCGAGCCCCUUUCUGGGGCAAGACAAGACGUUACGGUCCCAAGCCAGAGCUGGGCACGAUCUCCUUAGCCCUGUUCUCUCAGCUCAGCCAUCUCUGCACUUCGCCAGAGUUUAGAAGAGGCCGUAAGGGGAUGAGACGAUGGUCCGGAUGGAGAGCGGGUCCCUUGGGCUCUGGGCAGUUAUCAACCGUAUAGAAGACCAUACUUCCCGGACCAAAAGAAUGCUCCGCCCUCUCAGUCCUCUCAGACUCUUUAGUGGUCCUCGAAAGGACACGGGUCAGGACACUCCCAGCUCGCCCUGGCUCUAUACAAACAAGGUUGAUGAUCCCUAAGUUUAAAGGUGGUGGGGCCGGUAUCCUGACUAGCUCCUAGCUCUCAGGAGAAUCAGUUUUGCCUCAGUACUGCCUUUUGGAGGCCCAGAUCCUUCAUAGACAAGUGGCUAACAAAUCUUUUUCUUAUUCCCAUAUCAGAGAAGUUAUCUUUGGGAUCCUAAGUAAGAGCAGCAUCCCUGGUGAAUUCACCUGGGCUGAUCCAGGCUGGAACAAGUAUUCCUAGGAGUUUUGAUGAUUAACUGUUUUUAGUAGUGGUAUCCCCCUCUCCCCAGAAGAAACCUUAUGCAGAGUCCCAUAAUGUAAAGCUGAUCUGUUCCACCUGAAGUAGACUCAGAGUGAAGUCCUUGGGGCCUAUGUGGAAAGCAAAGGUGUUCACAGGAAGGAAUAAUCAACACAAAGGAUAGGACAGAAUCUUUGUGUAAUGGCCACCCUGCACCCACUCCCCAACCCAGGGAAGCCCACUUUGGCCAUGGGCAAAGUCUCUCCCUAUGGUGGAUGGCCCUUGGUGGGUUCCAGGUCUAUGCCUAAGUCAGGAUAAUGGCUCCUUGUUCAACAGGACUUGUCAGAACAGUAGCAUAGAGGUUAUUCCUUGGCACAAUUCCAGCACAGGACCCACCACCCACAUGGAUUUCUAGAGUCCAGAGGACCCCUGCCACCAUCAAGGAACACACUGUGGUGAGGAUGGUCUGUACUCUCAGCCCAAGCAAUCCAUAUGGAACUGAGCACAGACCACUACCUGUGAACCUACUCCCAGCCUUCCCCUACCCACUGCCUUUCAGGGGCCCCUCCCCAGUAAUAUAGAGGAAGCAAAGGCAAGAGGGUGGCCAGAGGCUUUGGCAGAAUGAAAUUUAUUUGCCAGGUUCAGCAGGUACACGGCCCACCGACCUUCAUACACCAGAGCAGACCCACAGGCAUGCAGGGAGAAGGGCAGGACUAUCCCCGAGUGCCAAGUGAGGGCCAGGACCAGUGUGGCUGCCUGCCCAGGCCAUAGUGGGGUCUGACAAAGGGCACUUGCCAGGAGCCUCCAUCAGGAAACUGGGGAGCUUUAUUCCACUCUUUGAUUCCAGCAAAAGCAACUCAGCAGGGCUCAGAGGCACUUAGGCCUCACUCUAAGCCUUGACAAAAGGGGAAGUGGGUCACUGACAUAGAGAGGGUUCCUUCUAUUUUGUUGAACUGAGAGAGCAGAAAAUCUGCCCCCGAGAAGGGCAACCCCCCAAAUGAGACUGUGGGACACUGCCAUGCAGCUGGCCCUCUGGGAUGGAGAGGACUGUGGACUGAGCCUGAGGCGGGUCAUAUGGGAAGAGCCAGGGGCAGCCCUCCUUGUCUGCCCCAGGGUAAGGACUCAGCUAGGCUGGUACACUAGGUGCUAAGCCUGCACUCUUGCCCUCCCAGAUCUCAUUGCCACAUCCUAAUUGCUCCUCCUUCCCCUUACAGACUCAUGAAGCUCAGGGUACAGGGCAACCACUGCAGGACCCAGGAGGGCAGGAAAUAGCACACGGGUCUUGGGAGAGACUUUCCAGGGACAAAGAUGGAAGUGUCUACCUUUCUACUCAUUCUUUUUCACUUUUCAGGAACCCCUCAGCUACCAAGCAGUGCCCCCAGCCAUGCGACCAGUCUUAAAGCAUACUGCUUUAGAUUAUUGCAUUCUCUGUACCAGCCUGUUUCACGCCUAGAGCAGCCCACACACCACAGGCACAUACCUUCAUGUGCAGGAGCCUAAGACCGCUGACAGGGCCUCGCUGGAGGACCAGCUCUCAGGGCAAGGCCACCCAAUUUAGGGCCUGGGAGAGGAUGGGACCUGCAGGGCCUGCCUGGGGGAACUGUGAGGCAAAAAGGAAAAGGGAACAGGAGCAGGGACCUCCUGAGUAUCCCCAGAGCAGCAUCCCAUAAGGAACAGAAACUGAUGAAGCUAGCAAAAGACAAAAGCCACAAGGAAUCCAUGCAGGGGCUGGGGCUGGUCCUGCCUCUGGCCUCCCCACCACUCACACACAUACACACAGGAGAUGAGACUGCUCUCCUGUGGCCCCCAGACAUGCCCUGUGCUGGGAGGCAGGGGCAGGGGGCAGUGAGGGCAUCAUGCCAGUGAUGCUAUGUACAGGGCGAAGCCCCUCAUCUACUCUCCCACCCUCUUGCCCAUCCCCCAUCCCCCACCAGCCUGCCCACUCAGCUGGUCUCCCUCCGAGACUCCUGGGCAGAGCCAGCAGCCUCUUUCCCUUUACUAGAGGGUAGAGCCUGGCCUGUUGCGCCCCCUGGGGCUGUGCUGUCCGGCUGGGCCAAAGCCGGCUCAGGAAUGGCAGCAGCCUUGGUGGCCGGUGUGGCACUGCUUUGGAUGGUGGGCACAGUGCUUUCUUCCAUGGCAGGUGUGGCUCUCCCAUCAGUGGCUGGAGUAACACUUCUGUCGGUGGCUGGGGUGACACUCCCAUCAGUGGCUGGAGUGAUGCUCCCAUCAGUGGCUGGGGUGAUGCUCCCAUCAGUGGCUGGGGUGGUACUGCCAUCUGUAGCUGGGGUGGCACUACGGUCUGCGGGGGCUACAUUAUCGCUUUUUGCAGCAUCACCCGCUGUGGCUUGGGUGGCACUGCCCCCAACAGCUGGGGCAGGUCCACUUGCAGCAGUGGCCCCACCUGCAGCCCCAGGGGUGGCAGUGUCUGUGGCUGGGGCAGGCUGGGCUGCAGCCGUGCUGGACUGCUCCGGUGCCCUCAGCCGUUUCAUGAGGGUGGUCACUCGGACAGCCUUCUGAAAGGAGGACAGUGGAGAGAGGCUCAGAGCAAGGCUUAAGGAGUCUGGAUCUAUUCCUUCGCAAAGGCCAAAUCCAGACCCUUUCAUGGUGCCCUGGCUGCCUCUGAGCACCUCAGAGCCAGGGACCCAGUUGCUCAGCAUACUUGUUUAAGGUAGUAACAGUGGUUAUGUCUAUUAACCUGACGGUUGAAGAAAGGCCUUUGUGUGGCUGCAGGGGUGUAAUGCAGGCAAGAAACUUGGUGCCAGAAGGAGCACUUGGCAUCAAGCUAGGAAAGGGAGCCAUCCAAGCCUUACCUUCCAUUUAGCCCUGGCAAAGUUCUUUUCAAUCUGGGCACAGACACCAUCCUUGAUGUUCUUAUCAGAAGCAGCAUUGCCAGAAAUCCUGGAAAGAGUACAAGUGUGUCUGGAUCUGGGUGGGUGUGGCCUUCACGGAGACUGUGCCCAGCCCUUCCCUUGUAAAAUCCAGGGAUUACCAGGCAGAACCUCCAGGCUGGCCUGGGCUCUGGGUCCCACCCCCGCAACCCCAACAUGAGGCCCCAAGGAUGGAGGCUGCUAGCUGUGAGGAGGACAGAGGUCAGGGGACCCCUGGCCUCUCCUAUCCUUCCUGGGCCCUGCUCACCACUCAUGGGAGAUGGCCUCUUCUGCAGUGAUCCGCUGGUCUUGCUCCACCUCCAUCAGCCUUGUGACCAGGUCUUUGGCUGGGGACAAAGCCAGGGAGAGGCUAGGCCUGGCUCCCCCCAACUCCCCCAGACCACCAUCUCACUGUCUGGAGGUGGUAAAUGGGCUUGGGAUAGGAUCAGAGUCCAGCAGAGCAGGGUGAGAGCAGGUCCCCCACACCAACCCUUCACUCUACCCUCAUGUUGGGCACCUCCUCACCCGCCUGUGAAAUGUCAUCCCAGUAUGGAGAGUCAAACUCAUAGUCGCCAGCCAGGAUUUUGCGGAAAAGAUUCUUAUCAUGGUUCUCAUAGUCAUCUUCCUCCACCUCCUCAUAGAAAGGUGGGUUCCCAGAAAGCCUGUGAAGGGACCCAAGUGCAGGGUCACUCAGGAAGGCAUGGACGUGGAACCCUUUCCCACCUGGCUGCACGCCUUUUUGCCUGCUCAUCCACUCACAGGAUGUACAUGAUGACUCCAAUGGCCCAGCAGUCCACAGGGCGUCCAUACCGCUGCCGGCCUACCACUUCUGGGGCUGCAAACAGUGUCCAUCUACUGGUCAAUAUUAGGCUUGGCCAGGCCUUAUAUCACCCGUACCCACUUCCUGGGAUGGGGACUUCCUCCCUCCUACCCAGAGCCACUCCUGGAAGGCUAUCUCCCACCCUGCCCUGCCCACCCCCCCUGCUUGCCCAGAUACUCGGGGGUCCCACAGGGCUCCUUGAUGAGGCCAUUCUCUAGCUUAGCCAGGUGAAAGUCACUGAUGACGAUCUUUGAGUUCUUCAGCCGGUUGUAGUAAACCAGGUUCUCCAGCUGCUCCGACAGGGAAUGGCAUGUGGGUGGGCAUAGGAAGACAGCAUGAAACCCUCAGAAGCUAGACCAUGGUCCCAAGGCACUGCCCACCCCAGCCUCAGGCUGGCUGCCAAGAGACCCUCUGACCUGAUUGCUGGCCUCACCUUGAGGUUCCUAUGCACGAUCUUGAGUGAGUGCAAGUAGGCCACCGCCUCCAGGACCUGCCGCACCACGUUGCUCGUGUCUCGCUCCGAGUAGUAGCCCUGGUCCAGGAUCCAGUCAAACACCUCCCUCCCCGUGGCCCUGAGGGACACCAGCCCCUGAGCCCGGCGUGGGCAGGAGCGGGAGGUGGGGCAGGAGCAUGUGGGCAGGCUGCCUACACCAGGCUGGCUGGGCAAGGCACAGGGACCUGGGACCCCAAGGGUCCAGAAGUGGGGCUUUCCCUGGCUGCAGAGGGCAGAGCAUGUAAAGACGUGGGGGAAUGAGGAAUCCUGGAACCCCAGACCCACACUCACAGCUCCAGGAAGAUAAAGUACUCCUUGCGAGUUACAAACACAUCCACAAGUUGCAGGAUGUUGGGAUGCUUCACCCUGGCAGCAGAGAGAAGAGCCAAUAGUUAGGGCUGGGGGAACCCCUAAGAGAGGCUCUGGUGGUCCCUGUGGGCCACAGCAGAAUAACUGGCCAGAGUCUGGUACUGCUUGAGGCCACUGGCCCUUGAAGCUCUUCCCCGCUUCCUCCCCUGCCCGCCCUGCCCCUGGGCCUCGCACUCACAUCUUGAGGAUGCCUAUCUCGUUCUUGGCUGCCUUCCGCACCUUGCGGCCAUCUCGCUUCUGGAAUUUCUUGCAGGUAUGGAGCUUGCCUGUUGUCUUGUCCUUGGCCCGGAAGAUCUCACAGAACUCCUCACUGCAGCCAGCAGGCACUCCACUCAGCCCUGGCCUCAGCAUGGGCUGUAAUCUGCUCCCCUUUCUCCAGCCCUUGCCCACCUACCCUUGCCCCAAAGACCCAGCACUCACGUCUUGAUGACCUGUCCCAAAUCAUAUCUGUCAGUCACCUCCGAUGGCUGGUUAUAGUUCUUCUUGUCGCCCAGAGUCACACACCCAAACGGCAUUGCCAGGCUCUGAGCUGCAGGCAAGACAGAGUCUGGCUCAGCUGUACCACUUCCCACUUCUCCCCACAACACAGAGGCUGCCUUUGGGAAACCCCAAUCUGGCUCAGACCAAGCCAGGGGCAGAGUAUAUUAGCAAGGAUUAGAGAGUGGUCAGACUCAGUUCCUAUCCCUGCUUUUCUGGCCAUACCUCCAGCCUCUCAGCUUGGCUGCCUGAACUACAGCCUCCACUUACGAAAAAUAUAUUAAACUGGCAUAUCAGGGAAUCAUUUUGCAUUAUAUAUAAUCAAAAGAUUUAUCAAAUCAUUAAAUUUCAGUUAUUUCACAGAUGAAGGGGGCUGUAAUAACUACCCACCCAUCAGAGAGUCAUUUCCACAAGUCUAAAGAUGCAAGUGUGGGCAAAGACAUGGAGAACAUGAGCACCGUUGGUGGAGGGCAAGUCACUCCUUUGCAAAACAGCUUGAGAAAAUGGAAGUCAGAUAUACCUUAUGAACCAGCAAGUGCAGUGCUAAAUAUAUGCGCUACAGAAACACGUACAUUUGUGCAGCAGGACAUUCAUAUGGGAAUGCUUAGGGUGGCAAUAUUCAGAAUUGCCCCAAACUGGAACCAGCCCAAAUAUCCAUCAAUGGCAGGAUGUAUUGUGGUAGUCACACAAUGGAAUAUUAUUACACAACAAUGGAAAUGAGGAGCUAGAGCUCUACCCAACCACAUAGUCAAUCUCACCAACACAGUGUUGGGUGAAAAAAAUAUCGAAUACACAUACUGUGAUUCUACUGAUCAGAAUUCAAGACAGGCAUAACCAACCUAUACUGUUUAAGGAUUCAGAUAUAGUGGUAAAACGCUAAAGUAACACUAGGAAAUAAAUGCCAUCAGUCUUUCCGAGAGAAACAAAGAGGUUGUAGCUGAGUGAGGACACAUGGAGGGAUUCUGGAGGAACUAUUUUUGAAUUUGAGUGGUGGUUUCACACGUGUUCAACUUUAUAAUAAUUUAUUAAAAUGUAUAUACAUGUUUUGUGCACAUUCCUGAAUUUUUAUUGUAUUGCACAAUAAAAAUGAUAAUAAAAAUUAUGGCCAUCCA
Phacochoerus africanus (Common warthog) is the source of this 7974-nucleotide long non-coding RNA. RefSeq lists it as uncharacterized. Lineage: Eukaryota; Metazoa; Chordata; Mammalia; Artiodactyla; Suidae. The transcript is spliced from 4 exons. The record is from RefSeq and is a predicted model, not a curated record.